UGGCGGCGAUAGCGCGGUGGUCCCACCUGACCCCAUGCCGAACUCAGAAGUGAAACGCCGUAGCGCCGAUGGUAGUGUGGGGUUUCCCCAUGUGAGAGUAGGGAACUGCCA
RNAcentral lists this ribosomal RNA (111 nucleotides) under Pectobacterium carotovorum. RNAcentral also lists the same sequence under 1 other name. The record is from RNAcentral. Lineage: Bacteria; Pseudomonadati; Pseudomonadota; Gammaproteobacteria; Enterobacterales; Pectobacteriaceae.